RNAcentral lists this ribosomal RNA (173 nucleotides) under Amauroascus niger. RNAcentral describes it as "5.8S ribosomal RNA". The stretch from base 1 to 154 matches the Rfam family "5.8S ribosomal RNA". From Rfam's summary of the family: 5.8S ribosomal RNA (5.8S rRNA) is a component of the large subunit of the eukaryotic ribosome. The record is from RNAcentral. Lineage: Eukaryota; Fungi; Ascomycota; Eurotiomycetes; Onygenales; Onygenaceae.
AACUUUCAACAACGGAUCUCUUGGUUCCAGCAUCGAUGAAGAACGCAGCGAAAUGCGAUAAGUAAUGUGAAUUGCAGAAUUCCGUGAAUCAUCGAAUCUUUGAACGCACAUUGCGCCCUCUGGUAUUCCGGGGGGCAUGCCUGUUCGAGCGUCAUUGCAACCCUUCAAGCGCG